GAUGAGAACGUAGUGAAAUGCGAUAAGUAAUGCGAAUUGCAGAAUUCCGUGAGUCAUCGAAUCUUUGAACGCACAUUGCGCCCUUUGGCAUUCCGAAGGGCAUGCCUGUUCGAGCGUCAUUUAUCAACCCUCAAGCCCGGCUUGCGGUUGGGUCCCGCCGUGGGCGACCACGGCGGACCCGAAAGGUAAUGGCGGUGCCCGUGGGGCCCUGGACGCAGCGAGCUUCUCGGCACGCGUCCCGGCGGUCCCCGGCGCCGUCUCCACCAAUCCACCACGCAGAUUGACCUCGGAUCAGGUAGGGAUACCCGCUGAACUUAAGCAUAUCAAUAAGCGGAGGA
This 338-nucleotide unclassified non-coding RNA is filed under the name soil metagenome. RNAcentral's name for it is "partial contains 5.8S ribosomal RNA, internal transcribed spacer 2, and large subunit ribosomal RNA". The stretch from base 5 to 119 matches the Rfam family "5.8S ribosomal RNA", at positions 40 to 154 of the family's 154-position model. The record is from RNAcentral.